This is a long non-coding RNA of Serinus canaria (Common canary), 900 nucleotides long. RefSeq lists it as uncharacterized. The transcript has 4 exons. NCBI's taxonomy places the organism in Eukaryota, Metazoa, Chordata, Aves, Passeriformes, Fringillidae. The record is from RefSeq and is a predicted model, not a curated record.
AUCAGAUGUUUUCCCUGGCAAACAGGCAAAGAAUUUCUUUCCAGGCAGGAGACAAAUACCUACCUCUUUCCUUUUAUCAAGUAUUAACCCAUAGGCCUCUUACAGGAAAAAGCAGAGAACUAGCACAGGGAUUUCUAUUGGAAAUGGGAAAACACUUUUUUUUUUUCUUUUUUUCUCUUUGUUGAAUUUUGAAGAAGAUUGGACCAAGGAAUCAAUGGGGUGGACAAAAACCAAGCUAUUAGGAAAUUAACACCAGGGGAAACCUUUGAGCAAGAUGGCUUCUCUGAUGGAACUGGGAAGCAGGAGGCAUAUAUGGUGUUGGAGCAUGUCCAGGGAAGAACGAUGGAGAUGGAGAAGGGCCUGGAGCACAAGUCUGAUGAGGAGUGGUGGAGACAGCUGGGAUUAUUUAUCCUGGAGAAAAGGAGACUCAGGAGGGACCUUAUUGCUCUCUACAAUCACCUGAAAGGAGGCUGUAGCCAGGUCUUGGGAGACACAUGAAGCUUUGUGACAAAUGGGGUGUUUGGAUGAUGAAGAGAUGACUUGAAGACUCGGGAAGAGACACUUCAGACUCCUGCCCCUGGAGCACAGUGAAAUAAAGAAAUCCAAGCAACAGAGAGAACCAAGAGACCCGGCUGCAGAAAAAGGGUUGAGAAGGAAAGGAAGCCAAGGUAAAAUACACAAGCCUUUCCCUAGAUCAUUCAGUUUGGCAACACCAGCACUUGAGGUAAAGCAUAUUCAGAAUGUAAUGCCAUUUGUGAGUUGACUGCUUCCCUUUCCAUUUCCCCCCUGUGAUAUUCCUAGUAUGGGUCAGAAGGCUUUAGUGAAACAUUUUGUUUUUACAAAGGCAUUUCUAUUUUGCUCCCUGGCACAGUACCUUCUGGCAUGCCUGCUCCUGGUAAG